GAGUUUGAUCCUGGCUCAGAUUGAACGCUGGCGGCAUGCCUAACACAUGCAAGUCGAACGGCAGCACAGCAGAGCUUGCUCUGUGGGUGGCGAGUGGCGGACGGGUGAGUAAUACAUCGGGACCUACCCAGACGUGGGGGAUAACGUAGGGAAACUUACGCUAAUACCGCAUACGUCCUACGGGGGAAAGCAGGGGACCUUCGGGCCUUGCGCGGUUGGAUGGACCGAUGUGCGAUUAGCUUGUUGGUGAGGUAAUGGCUCACCAAGGCGACGAUCGAUAGCUGGUCUGAGAGGAUGAUCAGCCACACUGGGACUGAGGCACGGCCCAGACUCCUACGGGAGGCAGCAGUGGGGAAUAUUGGACAAUGGGGGCAACCCUGAUCCAGCAAUGCCGCGUGUGUGAAGAAGGCCUGCGGGUUGUAAAGCACUUUUAUCAGGAACGAAACACUGUCGGUUAAUACCCGGCGGGACUGACGGUACCUGAGGAAUAAGCACCGGCUAACUUCGUGCCAGCAGCCGCGGUAAUACGAAGGGUGCAAGCGUUAAUCGGAAUUACUGGGCGUAAAGGGUGCGUAGGCGGUUGGUUAAGUCUGUCGUGAAAUCCCCGGGCUCAACCUGGGAAUGGCAGUGGAUACUGGGAAGCUAGAGUGUGUCAGAGGAUGGUGGAAUUCCCGGUGUAGCGGUGAAAUGCGUAGAGAUCGGGAGGAACAUCAGUGGCGAAGGCGGCCAUCUGGGACAACACUGACGCUGAGCACGAAAGCGUGGGGAGCAAACAGGAUUAGAUACCCUGUAGUCCACGCCCUAAACGAUGCGAACUGGAUGUUGGUCUCAACUCGGAGAUCAGUGUCGAAGCUAACGCGUUAAGUUCGCCGCCUGGGGAGUACGGUCGCAAGACUGAAACUCAAAGGAAUUGACGGGGGCCCGCACAAGCGGUGGAGUAUGUGGUUUAAUUCGAUGCAACGCGAAGAACCUUACCUGGCCUUGACAUGUCUGGAAUCCUGCAGAGAUGCGGGAGUGCCUUCGGGAAUCAGAACACAGGUGCUGCAUGGCUGUCGUCAGCUCGUGUCGUGAGAUGUUGGGUUAAGUCCCGCAACGAGCGCAACCCUUGUCCUUAGUUGCCAGCGAGUCAUGUCGGGAACUCUAAGGAGACUGCCGGUGACAAACCGGAGGAAGGUGGGGAUGACGUCAAGUCCUCAUGGCCCUUACGGCCAGGGCUACACACGUACUACAAUGGUCGGUACAGAGGGUUGCAAUACCGCGAGGUGGAGCCAAUCCCAGAAAGCCGAUCCCAGUCCGGAUCGAAGUCUGCAACUCGACUUCGUGAAGUCGGAAUCGCUAGUAAUCGCGGAUCAGCUAUGCCGCGGUGAAUACGUUCCCGGGCCUUGUACACACCGCCCGUCACACCAUGGGAGUGAGUUGCUCCAGAAGCCGUUAGUCUAACCGCAAGGGGGACGACGACCACGGAGUGGUUCAUGACUGGGGUGAAGUCGUAACAAGGUAGCCGUAUCGGAAGGUGCGGCUGGAUCACCUCCUUUCUA
RNAcentral lists this ribosomal RNA (1538 nucleotides) under uncultured bacterium. RNAcentral's name for it is "bacterial SSU rRNA". It matches the Rfam family "Bacterial small subunit ribosomal RNA". The record is from RNAcentral.